CCUACGGGUGGCAGCAGUAGGGAAUUUUCGUCAAUGGGCGCAAGCCUGAACGAGCAAUGCCGCGUGAACGAGGAAGGUCUUCGGAUCGUAAAGCUCUGUUGAUGGGGAAAAAGAGCGGAGAGAGGAAAUGCUUUCUCAUUGACAUUAUCCUUCGAGGAAGUCACGGCUAACUACGUGCCAGCAGCCGCGGUAAUACGUAGGUGGCGAGCGUUAUCCGGAAUGAUUGGGCGUAAAGGGAGCGGAGGCGGGCUGUUAAGUCUGGGGUGAAAGGGUGCGGCUUAACCGGUAAAGGGCACUGGAAACUGGCGGACUAGAGAGCAGGAGAGGACGGUGGAACUCCAUGUGUAGCGGUGAAAUGCGUAGAUAUAUGGAAGAACACCAGUGGCGAAGGCGGCCGGCUGGCCUGUAACUGACGCUGAGGCUCGAAAGCAUGGGGAGCAAAUAGGAUUAGAUACCCUAGUAGUC
Molecule: ribosomal RNA, 465 nt
Filed under: uncultured bacterium
Lineage: Bacteria
Description: partial 16S ribosomal RNA
Rfam family: Bacterial small subunit ribosomal RNA
Source: RNAcentral